RNAcentral lists this long non-coding RNA (577 nucleotides) under Chinchilla lanigera (long-tailed chinchilla). RNAcentral's name for it is "lncRNA (ENSCLAG00000028517.1)". Lineage: Eukaryota; Metazoa; Chordata; Mammalia; Rodentia; Chinchillidae. The record is from RNAcentral.
CUUAAACGUGGGCCAGUGCGAGGGGUACAGUCCGGGAACUCCAGGGGGUGAUGACCCCAGCCUGCGAGGUGCCCGCGGAACCGGAAGUGCUGCGCGGUUGCCCAGGAGCGAUCAUCCCCACCGUGCCGCUGCGUACACAGCGCGCAGCAAAGCGCCGUGCCAGGGCUGUGCGGGUGGAGCGCGUCGCCCUCCAGCUGUGCUGCAGUCGCCUGUGGGAAGGAGGAGCUCUACGCAGAACCCUGUUCCCUGUCGUUCUGUCCAGGGUGUCAGGUCCCGAGAAGGAGGAGCCCGCGGAUGAACAGAAAACAAUCUGGAAACGUCCACAUUGUGAAAACUGAGAGGACCCUGAUGACUGAUAGACUUCCUUCGGUGCAGAAAGUAAUAAAACAAUAAAAUGCCUUUAUUGUGGGCUCAGAGAAGACCACAGACGGGCGGGGGAAGAAGGUGGUGGAUCUUCUGAGGGAGCUGGCUGGGAGAACAACGGUUAAAUACUGCCAGGCUGGAGGCGGGGCUUAGGGGCGGACCAGCCGACGCGGCAUGCCAGCACUGGGUGGGAGCGUGCGAAAAUGAAGCGGGA